This is a transfer RNA of 96 nucleotides. It matches the Rfam family "tRNA". From Rfam's summary of the family: Transfer RNA (tRNA) molecules are approximately 80 nucleotides in length. Their secondary structure includes four short double-helical elements and three loops (D, anti-codon, and T loops).
GCCCGCCUAGCUCAAUCGGUAGAGCGUCAGACUCUUAGGCGGGUUACUUCCCUCGGGAUAAUCUGAAGGCUGCGAGUUCGACCCUCGCGGUGGGCU